This 408-nucleotide ribosomal RNA is filed under the name uncultured bacterium. Its description in RNAcentral is "partial 16S ribosomal RNA". It matches the Rfam family "Bacterial small subunit ribosomal RNA", at positions 28 to 526 of the family's 1533-position model. The record is from RNAcentral.
GACGAACGCUGGCGGCGUGCUUAACACAUGCAAGUCGAACGAAGUGGCGGACGGGUGAGUAACGCGUAGUCAACCUGCCCUUCAGGGGGGGACAACAGUUGGAAACGACUGCUAAUACCGCAUACUGAAGGAGGGGAUUGCGUGUGAUUAGCUAGUGGGAGGGGUAACGGCCCACCAAGGCGAGGAUCAGUAGCCGGUCUGAGAGGAUGAACGGCCACAUUGGGACUGAGACACGGCCCAGACUCCUACGGGAGGCAGCAGUGGGGAAUAUUGGACAAUGGGCGAAAGCCUGAUGCAGCCAUGCCGCGUGUGUGAAGAAGGUCUUCGGAUUGUAAAGCACUUUAAGUUGGGAGGCGUUACCAACAGAAGAAGCACCGGCUAACUCCGUGCCAGCAGCCGCGGUAAUAC